Long non-coding RNA from Xiphias gladius (swordfish), 745 nucleotides. RefSeq lists it as uncharacterized. The record is from RefSeq and is a predicted model, not a curated record. NCBI's taxonomy places the organism in Eukaryota, Metazoa, Chordata, Actinopteri, Istiophoriformes, Xiphiidae. The transcript has 3 exons.
CCUUAGGCAUCUGCUAUUCGCUUGAUAAACGCUAUGGUAAAACACAGGAGGGAUACAGAGGAGUCCAGAUGAGACAAGGAAACAAGGAGACUGCAUAAAUUGUGAACCCUCUAUUUGAAAUAAAUAUUUAAAAAAAAGAUAAGUCUUCAGUUUCAUCUAUGUUAUUUUAGGAAUGCGAGAGGAGAAACAAGAUAAAGACCAGAGGAGACAAGCAGAGGAGAUGCCAUGCACUGUGAACCCCCUCAUUAAAAAAGAUAAAGAGGAGAGAAGGGAGGAAGCAGCGUCCCCUGUAAACUCUCAUUUAAAAAAAGAUAAGUAUAAAUUUUAUUCGUUGUUAUUAUCAGAAUUCCUUUACAGAUAAAUAGUUCCUCUUGGGCUUAAGUUGUUUAUUAACUAUUACUUUCACUGUCUCCCAUUUGUCUCUUAGAGUAAAGAGAUGAGAUGACACGAGGACAAACAAGACAAAGACCAGAGGAGACAAGCAGAGGAGAUGCCAUGCACUGUGAACCCCUUCAUUAAAAAAGAUAAAGAGGAGAGAAGGGAGGAGGCAGCAUGCCCUGUAAACUCUCAUUUAAAAAAAGCUAAGUAUACAUUUAUUCUUUGUUAUUAUCAGAAUUUCUGUACAGAUAAAUAGUUCCUCUGGUGCUGCAGUUGUUUAUUAACUAUUGCCUUCUUAAUACUAUUAACUUCCUCCUGCCCCUUGUCUCGACUAGACAAAGUUUUUAAUUCAAAUAAAACCAACAAA